CANNCUCGUACGGGNGGNAGCAGUGAGGAAUAUUGCACAAUGGAGGNAACUCAUGAUGUANCCAUGCCGCGUGCAGGAUGAAUGCCCUAUGGGUUGUAAACUGCUUUUAUACAAGAAGAAA
This 121-nucleotide ribosomal RNA is filed under the name uncultured Bacteroidota bacterium. RNAcentral describes it as "uncultured Bacteroidetes bacterium partial 16S ribosomal RNA". It matches the Rfam family "Bacterial small subunit ribosomal RNA", at positions 332 to 450 of the family's 1533-position model. Lineage: Bacteria; Pseudomonadati; Bacteroidota. The record is from RNAcentral.